ACGCUGGCGGCAGGCCUAACACAUGCAAGUCGAGCGCGACCUUCGGGUUGAGCGGCGGACGGGUUAGUAACGCGUGGGAAUAUGCCCAAAGGUACGGAAUAGCCUCUGGAAACGGAGAGUAAUACCGUAUGUGCCCUUCGGGGGAAAGAUUUAUCGCCUUUGGAUUAGCCCGCGUUAGAUUAGGUAGUUGGUGGGGUAAUGGCCUACCAAGCCUACGAUCUAUAGCUGGUUUUAGAGGAUGAUCAGCAACACUGGGACUGAGACACGGCCCAGACUCCUACGGGAGGCAGCAGUGGGGAAUCUUGGACAAUGGGCGCAAGCCUGAUCCAGCCAUGCCGCGUGAGUGAUGAAGGCCUUAGGGUCGUAAAGCUCUUUCGCCAGGGAUGAUAAUGACAGUACCUGGUAAAGAAACCCCGGCUAACUCCGUGCCAGCAGCCGCGGUAAUACGGAGGGGGUUAGCGUUGUUCGGAAUUACUGGGCGUAAAGCGCGCGUAGGCGGAUCGGAAAGUUGGGGGUGAAAUCCCGGGGCUCAANCCCGGAACUGCCUCCAAAACUAUCGGUCUA
This 564-nucleotide ribosomal RNA is filed under the name uncultured bacterium. Its description in RNAcentral is "bacterial SSU rRNA". It matches the Rfam family "Bacterial small subunit ribosomal RNA", at positions 33 to 643 of the family's 1533-position model. The record is from RNAcentral.